AACGAACGCUGGCGGCAUGCCUAACACAUGCAAGUCGAACGAGACCUUCGGGUCUAGUGGCGCACGGGUGCGUAACGCGUGGGAACCUGCCCUUAGGUUCGGAAUAACUCCCCGAAAGGGGUGCUAAUACCGGAUAAUGUCUUCGGACCAAAGAUUUAUCGCCUUUGGAUGGGCCCGCGUUGGAUUAGCUAGUUGGUAGGGUAAAAGCCUACCAAGGCGACGAUCCAUAGCUGGUCUGAGAGGAUGAUCAGCCACACUGGGACUGAGACACGGCCCAAACUCCUACGGGAGGCAGCAGUGGGGAAUAUUGGACAAUGGGCGAAAGCCUGAUCCAGCAAUGCCGCGUGAAUGAUGAAGGCCUUAGGGUUGUAAAGCUCUUUUACCCGGGAUGAUAAUGACAGUACCGGGAGAAUAAGCUCCGGCUAACUCCGUG
RNAcentral lists this ribosomal RNA (433 nucleotides) under uncultured bacterium. Its description in RNAcentral is "partial 16S ribosomal RNA". It matches the Rfam family "Bacterial small subunit ribosomal RNA", at positions 29 to 507 of the family's 1533-position model. The record is from RNAcentral.